Molecule: long non-coding RNA, 3680 nt
Filed under: Nicotiana tabacum (common tobacco)
Lineage: Eukaryota; Viridiplantae; Streptophyta; Magnoliopsida; Solanales; Solanaceae
Description: long non-coding RNA (NTAB_LNC003547)
Source: RNAcentral
UACGUUUGACUUAUUUGUUUUGCAGUUAUGUUGGAGCACUUCUCUCCAACUUUCACUUUUGAUGAAGCACACAUCUCCAUCCCUCAAUUUGGUUGAAGCACCUGUCUCCAACUCACGUUGAUGCACUUUGUCACCAACCGUACUUGAUGUACUUUGUCACCAACACUAAAUUUUGUUGAAGCCCCUGUCUCCAACUCACGUUGAUGCACUUUAUCACCAACCAUUGAUGCACUUUGUCAUCAACACUCAAUUUUGUUGAAGCAUCUGUCUCCAACUCAUGUUGAUGCACUUUGUCACCAACACCCAAUUUCGUUGAAGCACCUGUCUCCAACCCCCGUUGAUGCACUUUGUCACCAACACCCAAUUUUGUUGAAGUACCUGUAUUCAACACCUGUUGAUGUACUUUGUCACCAACACUCAAUUUUGUUAAUCUUCAUCUUGUGCCAUAUUUGUUUGCACCUCUUUAAAUAUUCUUACAAUUCUAGCUAAAUAUUCCCCCUUUAGUAUUCGCUUGAAUAGAUUAAUUGUUGGGUUUAAUUUAGUUGAUAGUUAAUCAUAACUCCCUAUGAGUACGAUAUCUGGACUUACAAUUCUAUAUUACUUGUAUGAUCACGUAUACUUGCGUGUGUAUUUGGGACCAACAAGUUUUUGGCACCGUUGCCGGGGACUUAGAAAUUAACUAUUCUACUAGAUUAGAUUUUUACUUUUUGUCUAUUCAAGUUUUAUUUAUUUAUUUUAUCUUAGUUUAAAAUUUUAUUAUCUUUAUUUACAUGGUAUCUUGGAAUGAGAAUUGGUCAAAUAUUGGUUAUUCUUAUUGGUGAUCCAUGUCCAUAUUGUGGGUGUGACAAAAUUGUGAAUCUCAAUUGUAUGGGUGGAAUUUUGUAAUGUGUAUGGCCGUCAAGGUGAUCAUUGGGAGGGUUGUCUUAAUUCUUAUUAUCCUUCUCAGAACUCUUAUUAUGAUGUUUCUAAUAAUGUUUAUGAGUUUGAUAUGAGCAAUGAAGUGGAGGAUGAGGAAUGUGUUGCCCCUAUUAUGGAGAUGAUGAGGCAAGUAGCUGAGCAACAAGAUAAAAAUCAAAAUGCUAUACAAAGAAUUAGUGCAGCAAUCAUGAGAAUAAAGGCCGAGGCGGAAGAAUUGGCUAAAGAAAGCGAGUUCCUGCAAGAAGAUAAUUUUGAAGAAGCAGAUACAGUGAGCCAAUCUUGGCUAGAGGAACAAGCUCAGCUAAUAAAAUUUCACGAGUCUCUCCGUGAUGGUCUUUCAAAUAUGACAGAACAACUGAUAGAAGGAAGAACUGAGCUCAGGCAAGAGAUAAACCAAUUUGGCUCAGAUAUCCAUGACCUGCAGGCUAAAUUGAAUAAAAAGGUUGAGGCGUCUGAUGCCCUACAACUAAUUUUUGUGGAUACUGGCCAGCUUGUGGAGCGGAAAUAGGAAUUUCAACCAUUUGACCAAAAUAUAUUAUGAUGUCAAGAUUAAGAAAAUGUACAAAAGUGAGGAUGUUAAAAGUGAACAAGUUUUAAAGUUGGAGCGUAUUGAACCUCAUUUGUCAUGAUCCGACGAGGGCCAUGACCGGCGCUAAGUGAGUCUAAGACUACUAAGCAAGCGUACCUCAUUUUUCCCACAUAAAAAAAAUCCGGCAUAGUUUCCUCUGUACCGAGAACAAACCAAAGCUUUAAACCUGUUAGUUUUCAAUCAACAUGUGUCCAAUGCACCAUAACCCUAGUAAUUUAACAUGCUAAGAUUAGGAAAUAUUGACAAUCUCAAGCCACAAGCUCCCACCACAACUAUAUAAUUUUUUUAAGCUACGCUACCGCUAACACAAGCCAAAAUACAAUCCCAAGGCUAACUUAAGGAGCAAAACUCUAGAGUUUAACAAAACAACAUACUAAAGUAGUCUAACAAAAUGAUAGCCCAUGCGAAGCAAGUGCGGGGAUUACCGGAUCCAUCAUUCGCUCUGUCUAUCGCACUUCCUGAGUCAAAGUGUCAGCCUCACCUAGAUUAUCUGUGGGAGAGAAAAAGGAAACAAGAAACACGGUCAGUCACACUAACUGAGUGAGUAAUAAUAUCAACAACAACAUUUAUUUGGGACAAGUAUAGAUAAAAUAUCAUGCAUUUUAUAAGGUUUUCAACAAUAUGCUAUUUAAACCAAUAUAACAGUUUGUGGAUGAAAACAAUGAAUUAAGUAAGUAAAAUCAUCAUGAUUCAAUAAUUAUCUGUAUCAUAUCCUUUUUGAUUUAUAGUGGGAAGUACCUAAACCAGAGUCGAUAUACUUUUUGACACCAUGGGUCUACCAUGACCGUCUGACUACCCUGUUAGCUAGGUUCCCUUCUAGAGGGUAUGGGUGUGAUGUAUACAAGUCUAUCAUACAAGAUGCACCAGGUCUAACGAUCCCAACGUUUGAUAAUGAAGAUCUGGCCAGGUUGAUUCCCAAGGUCCAUUACUUUAUAACGCAAUGAGUUUUCAUACUUCUUUCUAACAAAAAUAUUGGGUUCCAAAUAUAUGGAAAUCGUGAAUAAAUACAAUUUCAAAGCAUGUCGUGAUAAAUAAAACUUAGGUAUUAAAGCAUUAUUGUGCAUAUAUCAAUAUGUAUUGAAUUAUACCAUUACUUGUCCAUAUACAAGUAAAUAAACUUUUGUCAAAAUAUUUUUGAUGCAGGAAACUAGUUUCAAAUAUGCUAUAGUUGAAAAUCAACUAUGGAAGAGUCAUCACUCACGGUACUCUUGCCGAAUGGCUCCAAGUAGCUUCCAAUAAUUGCGUCGCCAAAUAUCAAUUAUCUAAAAAUACAUUAUAACAUUUGAAUAUUAAUUACUCUUAAAUUCAUGAAAUCAAAGUAUUCCUAGUAAUAUUACACUUCUCAAACCCGUUGCAAUUCUACUACCCAACCUAAAACUAGAAUAGAACUAACAAAAGUUGGCAUUUUAUUAUAAAAGAAAGCUUUUUGUUCAAUUUCAAUCGGUAUUAAUUUAAUCAUAUCCUUCACAGACUUUCUCGUAUACAUAUUAUUUUGAGAGGAAGAAAGUAUUUCGAUUAAUUCAAGUUUGAUGCCAAAAAUCAUCCUUUGCCCCAAAUUCAAACAUUUCUAUUAAAUUUCAGAUUACAUCUUCAAUCUUGGCUAUUGUUGCUAAUUACUCAUAAAAAGAAUGGAUUCCUUAGUGAUUAGGCAUAUCAGAAACUUACUUGCACAAAUCAAAAAGGGAGAAAAGUAAUUGAGUCUUCUUCCACACUAUUUGUAUUCAAAGUUUUAAAGGUAAAAUCUUCUACUUCUCCUGGCUUCCUUUCCUCCUCUUUAUCGUAUCUUCUUUGUUUCUCCUUUUUCUUUCUUCUUUUUCUUCUUUUCUUUUUGUCUUUUUUUCUUAGUAGAUUGCUGCUGGGCAGCUUCUGUUGAAACCAGCAACGCUGGUUUAUACUCUCUUUUGAACAAUCGACUUUUUAUCUUUUGUCUCUUGACCGCCUCUUUUUUUCUCCUUUUUUUUGAUUUUUUGGGUCAGAUUUUAUUAUAUUCAAGGUCAAUGGGCUGGUUUACCUAAAGAAAAUUUAUUUAAUGGGUUGGAGCCCAAUAUUUUUCUUUUUGGGUCUUUACAUUCUUUUCCCCUUACGAAAAUUCGGUCCCCUACUUUUAAACAUACACAUACUUCUGGAUUCAAACAAGUGGGGAUAUUUGGCUCGCAUCACUUUAUCGUCUUCC